Small nucleolar RNA from Octodon degus (degu), 133 nucleotides. Its record names the gene SNORA70. It matches the Rfam family "Small nucleolar RNA SNORA70". Rfam says of the family: snoRNA U70 seems to be exclusive to mammals and is a member of the H/ACA class of snoRNA which contain H (ANANNA) and ACA box motifs. Lineage: Eukaryota; Metazoa; Chordata; Mammalia; Rodentia; Octodontidae. The record is from Ensembl.
CUACAGCCAGUCAAGCCGACUGGGUCUCCUCCUGGUGGUGCCCAGUAUGCGCUGGCUGUGCACGGCAACCUCCUCGGUAGUGUACGCAGUCGGUUGCUUGUAUGGGCUGCCCUAAGGGGUCUUGGAGGCACUU